This 253-nucleotide ribosomal RNA is filed under the name uncultured bacterium. Its description in RNAcentral is "partial 16S ribosomal RNA". It matches the Rfam family "Bacterial small subunit ribosomal RNA", at positions 524 to 776 of the family's 1533-position model. The record is from RNAcentral.
UACGUAGGGUGCGAGCGUUGUCCGGAAUUAUUGGGCGUAAAGAGCUCGUAGGCGGCGUGUCACGUCGGAUGUGAAAGCCCGGGGCUUAACCCCGGGUCUGCAUUCGAUACGGGCAUGCUGGAGUUCGGCAGGGGAGAUCGGAAUUCCUGGUGUAGCGGUGAAAUGCGCAGAUAUCAGGAGGAACACCGGUGGCGAAGGCGGAUCUCUGGGCCGAUACUGACGCUGAGGAGCGAAAGCGUGGGGAGCGAACAGG